CAGUCGCCGCGGGAAUACGAGGGGUGCAAGCGUUAAUCGGAAUUACUGGGCGUAAAGCGUGCGUAGGCGGUUUGUUAAGUCUGUUGUGAAAUCCCCGGGCUCAACCUGGGAAUGGCAAUGGAUACUGGCAAGCUAGAGUGUGUCAGAGGAUGGUGGAAUUCCCGGUGUAGCGGUGAAAUGCGUAGAGAUCGGGAGGAACAUCAGUGGCGAAGGCGGCCAUCUGGGACAACACUGACGCUGAGGCACGAAAGCGUGGGGAGCAAACAGGAUUAGAUACCCCAGUAGUCCCUGUCUCUUAUAC
This 301-nucleotide ribosomal RNA is filed under the name uncultured bacterium. RNAcentral describes it as "partial 16S ribosomal RNA". It matches the Rfam family "Bacterial small subunit ribosomal RNA", at positions 509 to 807 of the family's 1533-position model. The record is from RNAcentral.